GUCGCUCCUACCGAUUUCGAGUGGUCCGGUGAAGCCUCGGGAUUGUGGUCAGUUUGCUUCAUUGCGAGUUGAUUGCGAGAACUUGUCUAAACCUUAUCAUUUAGAGGAAGGUG
RNAcentral lists this ribosomal RNA (113 nucleotides) under uncultured eukaryote. Its description in RNAcentral is "partial small subunit ribosomal RNA". The record is from RNAcentral.